Molecule: ribosomal RNA, 2904 nt
Filed under: Escherichia coli
Lineage: Bacteria; Pseudomonadati; Pseudomonadota; Gammaproteobacteria; Enterobacterales; Enterobacteriaceae
Also listed under: 1 other name
Description: 23S ribosomal RNA
Rfam family: Bacterial large subunit ribosomal RNA
Source: RNAcentral
GGUUAAGCGACUAAGCGUACACGGUGGAUGCCCUGGCAGUCAGAGGCGAUGAAGGACGUGCUAAUCUGCGAUAAGCGUCGGUAAGGUGAUAUGAACCGUUAUAACCGGCGAUUUCCGAAUGGGGAAACCCAGUGUGUUUCGACACACUAUCAUUAACUGAAUCCAUAGGUUAAUGAGGCGAACCGGGGGAACUGAAACAUCUAAGUACCCCGAGGAAAAGAAAUCAACCGAGAUUCCCCCAGUAGCGGCGAGCGAACGGGGAGCAGCCCAGAGCCUGAAUCAGUGUGUGUGUUAGUGGAAGCGUCUGGAAAGGCGCGCGAUACAGGGUGACAGCCCCGUACACAAAAAUGCACAUGCUGUGAGCUCGAUGAGUAGGGCGGGACACGUGGUAUCCUGUCUGAAUAUGGGGGGACCAUCCUCCAAGGCUAAAUACUCCUGACUGACCGAUAGUGAACCAGUACCGUGAGGGAAAGGCGAAAAGAACCCCGGCGAGGGGAGUGAAAAAGAACCUGAAACCGUGUACGUACAAGCAGUGGGAGCACGCUUAGGCGUGUGACUGCGUACCUUUUGUAUAAUGGGUCAGCGACUUAUAUUCUGUAGCAAGGUUAACCGAAUAGGGGAGCCGAAGGGAAACCGAGUCUUAACUGGGCGUUAAGUUGCAGGGUAUAGACCCGAAACCCGGUGAUCUAGCCAUGGGCAGGUUGAAGGUUGGGUAACACUAACUGGAGGACCGAACCGACUAAUGUUGAAAAAUUAGCGGAUGACUUGUGGCUGGGGGUGAAAGGCCAAUCAAACCGGGAGAUAGCUGGUUCUCCCCGAAAGCUAUUUAGGUAGCGCCUCGUGAAUUCAUCUCCGGGGGUAGAGCACUGUUUCGGCAAGGGGGUCAUCCCGACUUACCAACCCGAUGCAAACUGCGAAUACCGGAGAAUGUUAUCACGGGAGACACACGGCGGGUGCUAACGUCCGUCGUGAAGAGGGAAACAACCCAGACCGCCAGCUAAGGUCCCAAAGUCAUGGUUAAGUGGGAAACGAUGUGGGAAGGCCCAGACAGCCAGGAUGUUGGCUUAGAAGCAGCCAUCAUUUAAAGAAAGCGUAAUAGCUCACUGGUCGAGUCGGCCUGCGCGGAAGAUGUAACGGGGCUAAACCAUGCACCGAAGCUGCGGCAGCGACGCUGAUGCGUUGUUGGGUAGGGGAGCGUUCUGUAAGCCUGCGAAGGUGUGCUGUGAGGCAUGCUGGAGGUAUCAGAAGUGCGAAUGCUGACAUAAGUAACGAUAAAGCGGGUGAAAAGCCCGCUCGCCGGAAGACCAAGGGUUCCUGUCCAACGUUAAUCGGGGCAGGGUGAGUCGACCCCUAAGGCGAGGCCGAAAGGCGUAGUCGAUGGGAAACAGGUUAAUAUUCCUGUACUUGGUGUUACUGCGAAGGGGGGACGGAGAAGGCUAUGUUGGCCGGGCGACGGUUGUCCCGGUUUAAGCGUGUAGGCUGGUUUUCCAGGCAAAUCCGGAAAAUCAAGGCUGAGGCGUGAUGACGAGGCACUACGGUGCUGAAGCAACAAAUGCCCUGCUUCCAGGAAAAGCCUCUAAGCAUCAGGUAACAUCAAAUCGUACCCCAAACCGACACAGGUGGUCAGGUAGAGAAUACCAAGGCGCUUGAGAGAACUCGGGUGAAGGAACUAGGCAAAAUGGUGCCGUAACUUCGGGAGAAGGCACGCUGAUAUGUAGGUGAAGUCCCUCGCGGAUGGAGCUGAAAUCAGUCGAAGAUACCAGCUGGCUGCAACUGUUUAUUAAAAACACAGCACUGUGCAAACACGAAAGUGGACGUAUACGGUGUGACGCCUGCCCGGUGCCGGAAGGUUAAUUGAUGGGGUUAGCGCAAGCGAAGCUCUUGAUCGAAGCCCCGGUAAACGGCGGCCGUAACUAUAACGGUCCUAAGGUAGCGAAAUUCCUUGUCGGGUAAGUUCCGACCUGCACGAAUGGCGUAAUGAUGGCCAGGCUGUCUCCACCCGAGACUCAGUGAAAUUGAACUCGCUGUGAAGAUGCAGUGUACCCGCGGCAAGACGGAAAGACCCCGUGAACCUUUACUAUAGCUUGACACUGAACAUUGAGCCUUGAUGUGUAGGAUAGGUGGGAGGCUUUGAAGUGUGGACGCCAGUCUGCAUGGAGCCGACCUUGAAAUACCACCCUUUAAUGUUUGAUGUUCUAACGUUGACCCGUGAUCCGGGUUGCGGACAGUGUCUGGUGGGUAGUUUGACUGGGGCGGUCUCCUCCUAAAGAGUAACGGAGGAGCACGAAGGUUGGCUAAUCCUGGUCGGACAUCAGGAGGUUAGUGCAAUGGCAUAAGCCAGCUUGACUGCGAGCGUGACGGCGCGAGCAGGUGCGAAAGCAGGUCAUAGUGAUCCGGUGGUUCUGAAUGGAAGGGCCAUCGCUCAACGGAUAAAAGGUACUCCGGGGAUAACAGGCUGAUACCGCCCAAGAGUUCAUAUCGACGGCGGUGUUUGGCACCUCGAUGUCGGCUCAUCACAUCCUGGGGCUGAAGUAGGUCCCAAGGGUAUGGCUGUUCGCCAUUUAAAGUGGUACGCGAGCUGGGUUUAGAACGUCGUGAGACAGUUCGGUCCCUAUCUGCCGUGGGCGCUGGAGAACUGAGGGGGGCUGCUCCUAGUACGAGAGGACCGGAGUGGACGCAUCACUGGUGUUCGGGUUGUCAUGCCAAUGGCACUGCCCGGUAGCUAAAUGCGGAAGAGAUAAGUGCUGAAAGCAUCUAAGCACGAAACUUGCCCCGAGAUGAGUUCUCCCUGACUCCUUGAGAGUCCUGAAGGAACGUUGAAGACGACGACGUUGAUAGGCCGGGUGUGUAAGCGCAGCGAUGCGUUGAGCUAACCGGUACUAAUGAACCGUGAGGCUUAACCUU